CACCUUGAUGUCCACGCCGCAGAGAAACAGGCGCCUCCAAUUUGCAUCCGCGUAUACUCGUAUUCAACUUCAAAAUUGACGGACUCCCCCCUCGUAUGUUGCUGUUGCUUGGAACCCGAAAUCUACUUAACUAUCUCGAACACUUCUAAGUCUUCACCAUGUCUAGAGCUCGACUGAGAAAUCUGAAACCCAGCGCUCUACUUUCAGCUGGUUUCGUUUCUGUCCGAUUGUAGCGCUCGACUUCAGUGGCUAAUCCAAGAAACUUUUGAUUGAUGAUACAGGCUUUCAUGAAAUGUUUUUUCGCAUCAAAGAGAGCGAAGAAACAGCAGCGAAGAAUUUACUAAGGAUUACAAGGAAGGCAUUUGAAAUGGCGUAGGACCAACAAUUCCGAAAAUACGAAGAGUAAACGGGAAACUUCAUUUAUUGAUUGAUUUUGAUACAGGUUACGUGGAAUGGGAGAGAAAAAAGUCGUUAUAUAAACCGAAUCGAUUUAGUUGGAUGAAAAAUUGUUGCUUCAAUCAUUAUUUUGUGAAAAUGAAUAAACGGUACUUAAUAUAAUAAAUUCUGUCAGGUUAAAUCAACCAAACGAGAUAUUAGAAAUAGGCGGUUGAUUUGAUUGAAAAUUUGAUAGGUCCAAACAAUAUUUAGCUAUGUCAACUCAAUAAUCCGGAUAAAGAAGGGGUUACCUGAGAUUGAAUGCAAGCAAUCGCUUCAACUAAAUAUUUUUUUGUCAACGAAGAAUUCAGUAGUUCGUGGAAUCAAAUUUGAUCCACUUGAAUCAACACCUACACGUAAUUUAGUAAACAAAUUGAAUUCAUCAAACUAAGUAACUUUUAUUCUUUCCAUUCAAAUUAUGCGUAGUUGAAUAAGUAUGGUCGAGUGAACUAAAUGUGCCUUUUGUCAGGAACUUUUGAUGAUUGAAAGAAAAAAAUUAGGUUUCUUCGACCAAAAAAUCUACAUUUUGUAGGUACCACUUGUUUCGUUGAUCGAAGGCAGCGAAUACAAUUCGACUAACUGCAAAUACUUUUGUUGAUUCAAAUAUCGACACAACAACAAAAUUGUUUUCAUACAAAUAGUCCAAUGAAUCUGCCUACAUUAAUCUACAAUCACGAAUAGGCAAAUAAAUUUGACUACUUUUGAAUUUUUGCUGGUCAACAAAAAAACCACAAAACUCCAACGCGUAAGUCGCUGAGACAAAUAUAUCUCGUCAUCCAAGUGAGCAAAAGUUAACCCAAAGUUCAUACGAUAAAUAGAAUCAUAGAUAUUUUCGAGCGGCCCCCGGUUCGAAUCCCGGAAAAUAUCACGCGGCGUCGAAUCGGAAACUAAAAAUGUGUUUUUACUCCGACUUGCGAAUAAUUAUGAGUUUUUUGCAUUACUAAAGAAUCUACCAACUGCCAUAAUUAGGCUAAGAAUUUCAAUUUUAUUUUUGAUCAGAAUCAUUUCAAAUGAUUGAAGCACUAAACUGUACUGAAUGUUCAGUUGCUUGAAUAUAGUUAUGAUUUUUCAAACUAAAUAUUCAGUUCCGUUAACCGAGAUUUUCUUAAACCAACAGGACAUUAUGUUGCAUUGAUGAAACAUUUCUUGGAU
This 1587-nucleotide long non-coding RNA is filed under the name Neodiprion lecontei (redheaded pine sawfly). RNAcentral describes it as "uncharacterized LOC124293041". The record is from RNAcentral. Lineage: Eukaryota; Metazoa; Arthropoda; Insecta; Hymenoptera; Diprionidae.